Molecule: long non-coding RNA, 4125 nt
Organism: Anolis carolinensis (green anole)
Lineage: Eukaryota; Metazoa; Chordata; Lepidosauria; Squamata; Anolidae
Exons: 7
Source: RefSeq, a predicted model, not a curated record
CCUCCAUUUGAGGUGAUGGUGGUAUUUCGGUGGCUUUCCCAGACAGAACCACUGGCGCCACUAUCUUUGGAGUGAAGUUUAGAGUAAACAAAUAACAGGAUUAAUGUAGUUUCAUUAACAGCGUAAGAGGACAGCAAGUCUAAGAGAUGGUAUUGUAUCCCUAGCCUCAAGCUCUGAGUCAGAGAAGAAUGAGUCCAUAUAUUACUGGGCUGCUGGGGAAUGAGAACAGAUUUCCAAACCAUGAUGUUGAACCUGAACUUAGUGAUCUAAGGAACAUCAGCAUGGUGGAGAGCUUAGUCUGUCCUAUAAGAAUCUAAAAGAUGCAUGGAUCUUCUCUACUCUCUUGGCGCUCCUUCAAGGAGCAGUGCUAAAGAACUGCCAAUUACCUUCAAAGGGACUCAGAAAGUUCAGAUGUGGUGCUGUGAUGGAGCGAGUAAAAAGGUUCUCUCAGAACCGACUAAGCUUUCACCUUUCACCACUCCAUUCAGAGAAGAGGAUGACUCCUUUGUAAUAAGAGUUAAGAUUGUGGGAGAAGAAAUCCUUGAACAUGUAACAAAAUUUAAGGAGGAUUUUAGCUGGCUUUGUAGUCUAACCCCGAGCAUGAAAUAAGUAAACAAAAAGGUCCACAUCAAAGAAAAAAUACAAAGACUUUACCAGUGGCUGAACCUGCAAUGAAAGGGACCACUUUGACCAGGGACCACAUUAAUCUGGGACCACUUUGACCAGGUACCACUCUCCAACGUUAGUACCAAAAGGGUUACAAAUUAGUUUUUGGUCAACUUUUGAUUUGGUUUGGUUAUUUGGGGUGCUGAUUCAGAAAAUUGCAUUGGAUAGACCACAUCAGCUCUAAUUUUUGAUACAGAACAUAUGCCAUCCAAUAAUUGCCAUCUGCUGGUCCACAGAAAACCAUAUUUAAUCAUGUAGAGCACCCCAAAUAACCCCAGGAAGAGGCCUAAAAACAAAGACACCAAGGCCCCACUUCCAGGUGCCACAUGGAAUGGCUCCGCUCAGGGGGAGGGAGGAAGAGGAGAAGCAGCAGUCAGGAGGCUUGUUGUGCCUUUUGUGGGUAGUCAGCCUCUCCCCUCUCAACAUCCCCGUUGCCUCAGCACUACAAGAGAAUUUCAUGAGACCAGUCCCUCUCGUUACAACAGUGUAGUAACGGUGAGGCUGCGGAUGACAUUUUAGUUCUUGGAGACCACUGAUGGUCCAUGAAUCACAAGUUGAGAACCACAGUUCUAGAAGAACUAGGCUGCUAAACGAGUCAGGGGAAGAGGGACUUGGUUGUGGAUACAAGAGUAUAUCUUCAAACAUCAUAUAAUGACCAUAUAAUGGACAUGGUAGAAGACAAAAAGAAAUACUAAAUUGUGAAUGAUUAGCUAUUUUUAUCACCCAAAAUUAUGGUCCUUCUAUUUAUACUCCAAAUUGCUACUCUGAAUUGCCUGUUUAAUGUACUUAGUAGUAAAGCCAACUUAAUUACUACACAUAUUAUGCAACUACCAUGUUUCCCCGAAAAUAAGACAGUGUCUUUUAUUAAUUUUUGCUCCCAAGGAUGCGCUAGGUCUUAUUUUCAGGGGAUGUCUUAUUUUUCCAUGAAGAAGAAUUCACAUUUAUUGUUGAACAAAAAAUGAACAUUAUAUACUGUACAGUAGUUGUCAUAACAAACCAGCAUAACCAGACAAACUGUAAAUCCUAUCAAGAAUUUCUUGUUAUUACCAUUAUUUCCAUGUACAACACUCUAUGGUAUGUACAUUUACCGAUCCUGCAUGCUCUGGGGUUCUGUUCAUUGGGCAUGCUUCCAAACAAAAACUUUGCUAGGUCUUACUUUCAGGGGAAGCCUUAUAUUUAGCAAUUCAGCAAAACCUCAACUAGGUCUUAUUUUCCGGGGAUGUCUUAUUUUCAGGGAAACAGGGUAGUAGUAUACACUGGUGGUUUCAUAUGCCUUCUAUGGACAUAAAAUGGAAUAGUCUUCCAAGCAAACUCUCUUCCAAAUCUUGGUUUGUGUUGAACUUAUGAUUUUAUCUGCACCUGAAAUGCUUUGCAAAAGCAUACAUGGGUUUAGGGAGGGGGUGUUCAGAAGGAACAGAUUGACAGCUGCCAUAUCUGCUUUGCAGGGUGAGUCAGCUACAGAUUGGGAAUUGUCCCCCACCCCACCUCUUCCUUCAGUAUUGGUAGGGCCUAUUUCUCUAUAGAAAUCUCAUUGGCGUUUCACGUUGUAAUGAAGAACAAUGUUUGAACAGACAAAGGAGCUUCUAGUUUAUUAUUGUGCUGUCCUGAACUAGGACUAGAUGCUGGGAAAAAUGGUAAUUCACAGUGUGAAUUCUUCUCUUCCCGUGAUGUGGGCUAAAGCUCAACCCCAACCAUGUAUAUAUUGCCUGAAAUACAAUGGUGCACAUUGUAAGAAAAGCACAAAUUAUAGUAUUCCCCCCCUUUUUCAAUAGCCAAGUAAUUACAGGCCUUUCAUUAAAAAUAAGAAGAAUAAGAAUACAGUUCAAAUAGACUCAACAGACUAAAUUGUAUUGUGGGAAGUAGUCAAUAAGGUUAGUUUGCAAACUGUAAAUUUUUAAAAAGCAACAAUGUUCUCCAAGUGUUGCCUUGCAAACCAAACCCAAAGAUUUCUGUGAUUCCCUAUAACGGAAAUACAGAGCAAACACCAUCCUCCGCCUUUACUAUGACAUGCUACACAGGGUUGUUACAGGUUUAAUAAUGUUCACGGAAAUGGAAAGCACAGAAUGUCUUUUGUAAAUGAUUCUUUUCCACAAGGGGGUUUAUCAUCCAAAGAGAAAAGUUGGGAAAUGUUUCCCCUCCUAUCUUAGCCUGUGCGAAUGUCUCUGUUCCCCAUCUUUGCUGAGCUUUGGGGAGUACUCAGCUAGUAUGUUUUAUUGUAUUGGGAAAAGAGAGGCAGAAAUCCAAAAGAGACUGAGAAAUUGUAGGAGGGUGAGGGAUAAAAGAGGAAGGGAUAUCUCAAACAAGCAAGUUAGGCGUUUUGAUUCAAUAUUCUGAUAUUCUUAUCGAGGCUUUCCAGCGUGUGGCACGAAUGCAAAGUGCAAAGAAUGAGGAGAAAGUGACAAACAUGUAUCCAUGUCUUUCUAGCUGCACAAUGAUCCCUCCUACUCCUCCAAAUAUUUUCAGUAUUAUGGUGCAAAUAAAAAGCUGAGAAAAAUUAUAGGCCAGUGUAUUUUAGACUUCAACAAUAGAAAGGAUUUUUUUUAAGCCUACAACUCUCUGUCUUAAUUUAUUGAACCUAAGCCAGAUUUACUCAAUUAAGAUAAUACACUUCAAGGUUAACUAUCAUUUGCUGUUACUUACAUAACCUAUUGUAUGAUUAUGUAAAUUUCAGAAACGGAACACUACUAGAGUGUCUUAAUUACAGGCAAAAAAGGGGAGAGAGUGUCAUUUAAAUAUGAAUAAGUGAAUUGUUGCUUGUAUUUCCUGCUCACUGUGCUAGAUCUUUAAUGUGCAGUAAGAAGACAGGUUGUCUGGAUUGAUUCCUUAUCUUUCCCCUUUGUAAGCACAUAUAUCUCACGGUAGGUUGAAAAAAGUAAAACCAAUAGAACAAUAGUAGAAUAAUAAAAAGCUUGGACAACUGAUUUUAGCUACUUGCUGUAUUAAUAAAAGAAGAAUGUUGCUGUAAUUCCAUGUUUAACUACUAUUAAUAUAUAGGUUUUUAUUCUUUAAAAAUCUGGAAUUGCAUAUAUAUUUGUUUAAUCAAUGGAACCACAUUUAUUUUCUUUACAAAUUACUUUGUUAAGGAGAUGCUGGGAAACUGAGAAUUAAAAGUUGAAUUCUGCAUAAACAUAGUUUCCCCGUGAAAUUCACUGCUUCAAAAACAAACAAACAAACAAACAAAAAAGGACUACAGUAUUCCCUCACUACUUCGCUGUUCACUUUUCGCAGAUUCGCUGUUUUGUGUUUUUUCAAUAAGCUCUAAAAGACUAUUAUAAAUCGUAAAAAAAAAAUACAAUUUACAGCCUAAGGAAGGGAGGAAGGAGAAGCCAAAGGGAGAGAAAAGGAGCCCAAGCAGCAACGGGAGGAGAAGGAGGCGAUUUAUCAACACAUGAUUGGUUGAUAAAGACUUAAAAUAGUGUAUAACUACUAAAAUAAUGUAUAAAUAUUAAGAUAAAUAUA